AUGUACCACGCGUCCACUGCGGUUCUGAGCGCGCCGUCUGCGCCCACCCGACAGCUGCUCGCUACGUGUUGCUAGCC
Molecule: small RNA, 77 nt
Filed under: Xanthomonas oryzae
Lineage: Bacteria; Pseudomonadati; Pseudomonadota; Gammaproteobacteria; Lysobacterales; Lysobacteraceae
Description: sX9 sRNA
Rfam family: Xanthomonas sRNA sX9
Source: RNAcentral